ACUUUGCUGACGAGUGCCAAGUAGGACGAAACCCGAGUUCAAGGU
RNAcentral lists this non-coding RNA (45 nucleotides) under Schistosoma curassoni. The record is from RNAcentral. Lineage: Eukaryota; Metazoa; Platyhelminthes; Trematoda; Strigeidida; Schistosomatidae.